Molecule: ribosomal RNA, 478 nt
Filed under: uncultured bacterium
Lineage: Bacteria
Description: partial 16S ribosomal RNA
Rfam family: Bacterial small subunit ribosomal RNA
Source: RNAcentral
GAUGAACGCUGGCGGCGUGCUUAACACAUGCAAGUCGAACGGGAAACCUUUUAUUGAAGCUUCGGCAGAUUUAGCUGGUUUCUAGUGGCGGACGGGUGAGUAACGCGUGGGUAACCUGCCUUAUACAGGGGGAUAACAGUCAGAAAUGGCUGCUAAUACCGCAUAAGCGCACAGAGCUGCAUGGCUCAGUGGGAAAAACUCCGGUGGUAUAAGAUGGACCCGCGUUGGAUUAGCUGGUUGGUGGGGUAACGGCCCACCAAGGCGACGAUCCGUAGCCGGCCUGAGAGGGUGACCGGCCACAUUGGGACUGAGACACGGCCCAGACUCCUACGGGAGGCAGCAGUGGGGAAUAUUGCACAAUGGGGGAAACCCUGAUGCAGCGACGCCGCGUGAAGGAAGAAGUAUCUCGGUAUGUAAACUUCUAUCAGCAGGGAAGAUAAUGACGGUACCUGACUAAGAAGCCCCGGCUAACUACGUG